This 116-nucleotide ribosomal RNA is filed under the name Bacillus amyloliquefaciens. RNAcentral also lists the same sequence under 3 other names. Lineage: Bacteria; Bacillati; Bacillota; Bacilli; Caryophanales; Bacillaceae. The record is from RNAcentral.
UCUGGUGGCGAUAGCGAAGAGGUCACACCCGUUCCCAUGCCGAACACGGAAGUUAAGCUCUUCAGCGCCGAUGGUAGUCGGGGGUUUCCCCCUGUGAGAGUAGGACGCCGCCAGGC